This 467-nucleotide ribosomal RNA is filed under the name uncultured bacterium. Its description in RNAcentral is "partial 16S ribosomal RNA". It matches the Rfam family "Bacterial small subunit ribosomal RNA", at positions 28 to 507 of the family's 1533-position model. The record is from RNAcentral.
GACGAACGCUGGCGGCGUGCUUAACACAUGCAAGUCGAACGGAAAUGCUCCAGCUUGCUGGAUUACUCGAAUGGCGAACGGGUGAGUAACACGUGGGUAAUCUUCCCUGCACUCUGGGAUAAGCCUCGGAAACUGGGUCUAAUACUGGAUAUGACCCUUCUCCUUAUGGGGUUUUGUGGAAAGUUUUUCGGUGUAGGAUGAGCCCGCGGCCUAUCCGCUUGUUGGUGGGGUGCUGGCCUACCAAGGCGACGACGGGUAGCCGGCCUGAGAGGGUGAUCGGCCACAUUGGGACUGAGAUACGGCACAGCCUGCUACGGGAGGCAGCAGUGGGGAAUAUUGCACAAUGGGCGGAAGCCUGACGCAGCGCCGCCGCGUGAGGGAUGACGGCCUUCGGGUUGUAAACCUCUUUCAGCAGGGACGAAGCGUAAGUGACGGUACCUGCAGAAGAAGCACCGGCUAACUAGGUG